Tupaia belangeri chinensis (Chinese tree shrew) is the source of this 393-nucleotide long non-coding RNA. RefSeq lists it as uncharacterized. The record is from RefSeq and is a predicted model, not a curated record. Lineage: Eukaryota; Metazoa; Chordata; Mammalia; Scandentia; Tupaiidae. The transcript is spliced from 3 exons.
GCCCUCUGAUAAAGAUGCCCAGCACUAGGUUACUUCAAAGGCUUCCCAGAACCUCAGUUGCAUUUAGUUACUAUCUGCUGUGAUCCCUUCAGGAAUCAAAUGUAUAAUUCUGGCCUAACCCUUAUUGUGAUAUAACUAUAGUGCUUAUCUGUCUCACAUGAACCAGACAACUAUAUUAAGCAAACACAGAGUAUCCACCCGACAUCCUUUUCUGCACUUGGCCCUGAGGAUGUGGAGCCUGAUUGUUUAUUGUUUGGGUUAUGGAGAGAAGAAGGAGGCAAGAAGAGCCUAUGAACUGCUUCAUUACUUAAAGCCUGCCCCUAAUCUUGCUUCGUCUUAGGUGGAAGUGUUUGAUAUCCCUCUGGAGCUAUGGUCUAUCCAGGUUUUGCUAAA